UUAAGCGACUAAGCGUACACGGUGGAUGCCCUGGCAGUCAGAGGCGAUGAAGGACGUGCUAAUCUGCGAUAAGCGUCGGUAAGGUGAUAUGAACCGUUAUAACCGGCGAUUUCCGAAUGGGGAAACCCAGUGUGAUUCGUCACACUAUCAUUAACUGAAUCCAUAGGUUAAUGAGGCGAACCGGGGGAACUGAAACAUCUAAGUACCCCGAGGAAAAGAAAUCAACCGAGAUUCCCCCAGUAGCGGCGAGCGAACGGGGAGCAGCCCAGAGCCUGAAUCAGUGUGUGUGUUAGUGGAAGCGUCUGGAAAGGCGUGCGAUACAGGGUGACAGCCCCGUACACAAAAAUGCACAUACUGUGAGCUCGAUGAGUAGGGCGGGACACGUGGUAUCCUGUCUGAAUAUGGGGGGACCAUCCUCCAAGGCUAAAUACUCCUGACUGACCGAUAGUGAACCAGUACCGUGAGGGAAAGGCGAAAAGAACCCCGGCGAGGGGAGUGAAAAAGAACCUGAAACCGUGUACGUACAAGCAGUGGGAGCACGCUUAGGCGUGUGACUGCGUACCUUUUGUAUAAUGGGUCAGCGACUUAUAUUCUGUAGCAAGGUUAACCGAAUAGGGGAGCCGAAGGGAAACCGAGUCUUAACUGGGCGUUAAGUUGCAGGGUAUAGACCCGAAACCCGGUGAUCUAGCCAUGGGCAGGUUGAAGGUUGGGUAACACUAACUGGAGGACCGAACCGACUAAUGUUGAAAAAAUGAGCGGAUGACUUGUGGCUGGGGGUGAAAGGCCAAUCAAACCGGGAGAUAGCUGGUUCUCCCCGAAAGCUAUUUAGGUAGCGCCUCGUGAAUUCAUCUCCGGGGGUAGAGCACUGUUUCGGCAAGGGGGUCAUCCCGACUUACCAACCCGAUGCAAACUGCGAAUACCGGAGAAUGUUAUCACGGGAGACACACGGCGGGUGCUAACGUCCGUCGUGAAGAGGGAAACAACCCAGACCGCCAGCUAAGGUCCCAAAGUCAUGGUUAAGUGGGAAACGAUGUGGGAAGGCCCAGACAGCCAGGAUGUUGGCUUAGAAGCAGCCAUCAUUUAAAGAAAGCGUAAUAGCUCACUGGUCGAGUCGGCCUGCGCGGAAGAUGUAACGGGGCUAAACCAUGCACCGAAGCUGCGGCAGCGACGCUUAUGCGUUGUUGGGUAGGGGAGCGUUCUGUAAGCCUGUGAAGGUGUACUGUGAGGUAUGCUGGAGGUAUCAGAAGUGCGAAUGCUGACAUAAGUAACGAUAAAGCGGGUGAAAAGCCCGCUCGCCGGAAGACCAAGGGUUCCUGUCCAACGUUAAUCGGGGCAGGGUGAGUCGACCCCUAAGGCGAGGCCGAAAGGCGUAGUCGAUGGGAAACAGGUUAAUAUUCCUGUACUUGGUGUUACUGCGAAGGGGGGACGGAGAAGGCUAUGUUGGCCGGGCGACGGUUGUCCCGGUUUAAGCGUGUAGGCUGGUUUUCCAGGCAAAUCCGGAAAAUCAAGGCCGAGGCGUGAUGACGAGGCACUACGGUGCUGAAGCAACAAAUGCCCUGCUUCCAGGAAAAGCCUCUAAGCAUCAGGUAACAUCAAAUCGUACCCCAAACCGACACAGGUGGUCAGGUAGAGAAUACCAAGGCGCUUGAGAGAACUCGGGUGAAGGAACUAGGCAAAAUGGUGCCGUAACUUCGGGAGAAGGCACGCUGAUACGUAGGUGAAGCGACUUGCUCGUGGAGCUGAAAUCAGUCGAAGAUACCAGCUGGCUGCAACUGUUUAUUAAAAACACAGCACUGUGCAAACACGAAAGUGGACGUAUACGGUGUGACGCCUGCCCGGUGCCGGAAGGUUAAUUGAUGGGGUUAGCGCAAGCGAAGCUCUUGAUCGAAGCCCCGGUAAACGGCGGCCGUAACUAUAACGGUCCUAAGGUAGCGAAAUUCCUUGUCGGGUAAGUUCCGACCUGCACGAAUGGCGUAAUGAUGGCCAGGCUGUCUCCACCCGAGACUCAGUGAAAUUGAACUCGCUGUGAAGAUGCAGUGUACCCGCGGCAAGACGGAAAGACCCCGUGAACCUUUACUAUAGCUUGACACUGAACAUUGAGCCUUGAUGUGUAGGAUAGGUGGGAGGCUUUGAAGUGUGGACGCCAGUCUGCAUGGAGCCGACCUUGAAAUACCACCCUUUAAUGUUUGAUGUUCUAACGUGGACCCGUGAUCCGGGUUGCGGACAGUGUCUGGUGGGUAGUUUGACUGGGGCGGUCUCCUCCUAAAGAGUAACGGAGGAGCACGAAGGUUGGCUAAUCCUGGUCGGACAUCAGGAGGUUAGUGCAAUGGCAUAAGCCAGCUUGACUGCGAGCGUGACGGCGCGAGCAGGUGCGAAAGCAGGUCAUAGUGAUCCGGUGGUUCUGAAUGGAAGGGCCAUCGCUCAACGGAUAAAAGGUACUCCGGGGAUAACAGGCUGAUACCGCCCAAGAGUUCAUAUCGACGGCGGUGUUUGGCACCUCGAUGUCGGCUCAUCACAUCCUGGGGCUGAAGUAGGUCCCAAGGGUAUGGCUGUUCGCCAUUUAAAGUGGUACGCGAGCUGGGUUUAGAACGUCGUGAGACAGUUCGGUCCCUAUCUGCCGUGGGCGCUGGAGAACUGAGGGGGGCUGCUCCUAGUACGAGAGGACCGGAGUGGACGCAUCACUGGUGUUCGGGUUGUCAUGCCAAUGGCACUGCCCGGUAGCUAAAUGCGGAAGAGAUAAGUGCUGAAAGCAUCUAAGCACGAAACUUGCCCCGAGAU
Molecule: ribosomal RNA, 2778 nt
Filed under: Shigella flexneri SFJ17B
Lineage: Bacteria; Pseudomonadati; Pseudomonadota; Gammaproteobacteria; Enterobacterales; Enterobacteriaceae
Description: bacterial LSU rRNA
Rfam family: Bacterial large subunit ribosomal RNA
Source: RNAcentral